AUGAACUGUGCUUUCAGCUUUCAGCGUUCAGCCAUUUAUGUUGUCCUCUGUUUGCUAUUGCAAACCCUUAUGUCCUUGUUCUUUUUAUUUCAUUAUAUGCCUCUACGUUGUUUACACCAAAAAUCAAAUUAUCACUUGGUUGAUAUUUCUGCUAAUCAAUGCAUCAUAGGUCUAAUGCUGAUGCCAAUGCGUCGGCUCUGCAAAGAAAGCAAGGCAGUAGCUCUUCCAUGCUCUAGGUUCAUGUAUCUAUACAUUGAUAUUUCUGCUAAUCAAUGCAUCAUAGGUCUAGUGCUGAUGCCAAUGCGUCGGCUCUGCAAAGAAAGCAAGGCAGUAGCUCUUCCAUGCUCUAGGCAGGUCAGCAUGCAGCAAAGCAGUGACAGUAGCCACACAACCAACGACAUCAAGCAGCAAACAACAUGCAAAGGCUAUUUCUCACCCUGCUGUUAG
This 447-nucleotide ribosomal RNA is filed under the name Triticum aestivum (bread wheat). RNAcentral's name for it is "partial small subunit ribosomal RNA". Lineage: Eukaryota; Viridiplantae; Streptophyta; Magnoliopsida; Poales; Poaceae. The record is from RNAcentral.